AAUGAACGUUGGCGGCGUGGAUUAGGCAUGCAAGUCGAGCGGCAGCGCGUCCGACCACCCUCGGGUGGUCGGAUGGCGGCGAGCGGCGGACGGGUGAGGAAUGCAUCGGGAUCCGCCUCGUUGUGGGGGAUAACGUAGGGAAACUUACGCUAAUACCGCAUACGACCUACGGGUGAAAGUGGGGGACCUUCGGGCCUCACGCGAUGAGAUGAGCCGAUGCCGG
Molecule: ribosomal RNA, 223 nt
Filed under: uncultured bacterium
Lineage: Bacteria
Description: partial 16S ribosomal RNA
Rfam family: Bacterial small subunit ribosomal RNA
Source: RNAcentral